Molecule: long non-coding RNA, 3549 nt
Organism: Dreissena polymorpha
Lineage: Eukaryota; Metazoa; Mollusca; Bivalvia; Myida; Dreissenidae
Exons: 5
Source: RefSeq, a predicted model, not a curated record
CGUUGUAAAAAAUUUGAUACGUUGAAGGUUGUAUUGCGUUGUAUAAGAAACAUCAAUAUUAAUGGAUAUAAACUGGUAAAUCUAGGAUGUCUAGAAACGCACAUGAAUAAGGUAAUGAAACAUGUUGUAUUGUGUGAGGCAGCGAAACAAGUUGUUAUUACAGACAAUCCAGUCGUACGAAUUACUUCGGAACUUAGGACUUAGCGUCCGUCCUGUCUGUUUGUUGCUGUGGAUGCAGUAAAAGUUUUAAAUUUGAAACAAGCCCAAAACUAAGAACCAUGGACACAAUUACAGGUCAUUAUGAUAUAAAUGUUCGAGCUGUCACUGGUAACGGAGCUUCACAUCUGAAGGAAGUGAUGGCUACUAUGGAUGCCCCAAGUUUGUCCCAGCCUGCUUUCACGAGAAUUGAAUCUCAGAUUGGUGCUUCGUGGGAAUGUAUUUCUCAAGAUGAAUUACUAGCAGCAGGUGCUGAAGAACGAAGGCUAGCCAUAGAAGACAACUGUUUCCACCAAGGUGUUCCUGCGAUUACAGUGGUAGCAGAUGGAGGUUGGAGCAAGAGAACACACAAACACUCGUAUAAUGCUUUAGUUUGAAGAUAAAACCAAGCCUUCUGUAAGUAAAAGGACGGUUACAUGUCGUAAGAAAACUACUUCAAGGCCCAAAUCAACUUCCACAGUGACGCAGAAGAUUAGUACAGUACCAUCAGAUAGGAAUACUGCAAGUGUCAUCACUUUCAUCGUCAAGGAGAGGACUAUUUGUGCAUCCUGUGCCACGACAACCACCACACGCUGGUGAACAACCCAGUCCGUGUUUCCUACAAGAGCAUCGUAAAACGAGCAGCAUCUUCAAAAACAAAGUUUGUUGGUAGACAAAUUAAACAUAAAUGGAAGUUGUGCAUUGAUUCUAAAUACCGAGUGGUAUACUGGCUAUGUAACACCCCUUUUGUCUGGAGUAGAUGGGAAUUAAAAUGCAGUGUAUGAAGUGCUAUAUGACAAUGAUGACGAACCUUACAUGAUUGACCAUCUUGUAGAAGACUUCAAGGAAGGAUCAGUACAGCUUUUGGAUUUAUAGGGUAUUAUCUCACAUACAUAUAUGUUUUUAAAUACUGUGAAUUACAUUGCAUGAUAUUUUUAAAACAAUUAAUGUUGCAAUGUCACUAUGUGAUGAAUAAUAUUGCCCAUAAUUUCAACUUGCAUAUUGUGUAAUAACCCUCCUUAUUAGCUCACCUAAGCACAAUGUGCUCAUGGUUAUUUUUUUAUUCCGUUUUGUCCGUCGUGCAACAUACGGUAUGCAUCAUGCUGCAUCGUCAUUUAACUUGUUUACCCUAUAGAGGCCACAUUUAUUGUAUAUGUUUAAUGAAAUUUUGUCUGAAGAUUAUUGUGUCUCAAUUAUAUUUUGAAUGAGUAAAGUAAUUAUUAUGUGUGGUUGAAAAACAUUAGUGACAUGGGGCGUGGCAUUUUUCCUUAUAUGACUAUAUAUGGCUGUACUUAAACCUUGUAAACACUUUAGUGGUCACAUUUAUUGUACGAUGUUAAUGAAACUUGUACAGAAGAUUCAUACCAAUAAUAUAUUGGAUUAGUUAAAAAAUGAUGAUGGUUGAAAAACAUGUAUGCAAAGGAGGCGGGGCAUUUUUCAUUACACGCCUAUAUAUGGCUAUAGUAAAACAUUGUUAACACAAUUUAUGCCACAUUUAUUGUCUGAUGUUCAUGUAAAUUGAUCAGAACAUUUGUACCAGUGAUGCAUUGAAUGAAUUUUAAAAUGUUUCUGUCUGUUUGAAAAGCAUUGCCGCCAAUAGGGUGGGGCACUUGUCCUUAUAUACAUAUAGUGAAACCUUGUUAACACUAUAGAGGCCACAUUUAUUGUGUGAUUUGAAUGAAAUUUGUUCAUAAAAUUGGUGUAAAUUAUAUGUUUGAUGAUUUGGAAAAUUGUUAAUUUUGUUUGAAAAACAUGGCUGCAAAGGGGUGCGACAUUUUUCCUUAUAUGGCAAUAUAUGGCUAUAGUAAAACAUUGUAAACAGUAUAGUAUUAUGAAAUGUCACAUGCAGACAGAAUAUAUAUUUUCUUAGUACUUUUCUUAUCAUUAAAAUUAAAAUAUAGUAACUUUUCCAACAAAUAUAAAAUAGUAAAUAUAGUUUAAUGUCACAAUUGGUAUACCAUACUUAAAGUAGUUCCUAAUUUUGUUUGUUACUUUUUGACAUUUGUUGAUGUUUUUCUUUUGCAUAUUUUAUGAUUGUUGGUGUGUGUUGUGUGGAAUUCUCAAUGUCGUACCUACAAUUAAGUGUAUACAAUCUUUUCACCAAAGGAAUUUUUUUAAUUUAACUCUGUUAGUUAAUUUGAUAUUUUCAUGCAUGCAAUGUAUAAUUCUUCAAAAGCAACAUUUUGCAUAUUUAUUUUUUUUCAUUUUCAUUUACUGAUAUGUUCUACAAGUAUUUACGAGCAUAUUAACAUAUAAAUUGAAUUAUAUGACAUAAUAUUUAUUGAACUAUUCCUAUUUGAAGAAUACACCUUUUGACACUUUACAUGAACCUUAAGGCAUGUAUUCAACUUCUUACGCACGUUUGUUAAUGGUAAUAUCAAUUGCAUGCAAUCAAUUCGUCUUAGUCUGUUUAUAUGUUUGCUCCUUUUUGCAGCUCCUUUUUGCAUAAGAUUCUUUGAAAUCGUAAAACCCCAUGGCUUGAAAUCACAUUUUUUCAAACGUCAGUCAUCUUACUUCCUGUGUUCGUAACGGUUGAAUUGUUUCAAGUCAAGGUUAUCGGCAAUGAAUUAGAAAACGCCCACAUCGUUUCAUGGUAUUAUGCACCGCUCUUUUAUAUUGUCAUAAUUUAACUGCGCUCCUGUUUAAUUCUUAUUUUAAGCCCAAGAUGGCUGACAUUUGUCAUUUUUACUCAGUCAGCUGUUAAGUUAACGUUCGAAUGUAGUUAAGUCAUAAUGACGUCAUUGACCAGUUAUUUCGUCACCGACUACUUUUUGCCCAUGUUUUCUUGGUCAUUGGCCAAUAACGUUAGUUGGUCAAUGACCACCUUUCGACCACUUUUCGCCCCAGAUUUUUGGUCGAUCACACCACAGAGUAUAUAAGGAGCCAAUUUUUUGCUCCGAGUCAGUCUCGCUCAGUCUUUUUAUUGGAACCAUCUCUUCGUCAUUUUUAAAACAGAAAUAACUUAACAUUCUUUUGAGUACGUGGUUUUGAAUGUUAUAACUUGUAAAUGGUUUAUUUUAAUACUGGAGAGUUUUACUAACAGUUUAACAUGAAAAGUAACUAUUUUAACGUAACCUUAAGAGUUUUACUAACAGUCAACUAUUUAAACGUAAUCUACAUGUAUUGUAUUAAUGCACUUCUGUGAAUUGAUCUGUCUUUGAUCAGUCGAAUAUAUUGAAGACUUUUAAAAAUCGCUAGCUAUAUGAGAACAAUUUGUAGGUCUGUUCAAAAAGAUCAGUGUAUAUAUUACACAGAAUUUGUUAGACAGUGGGUGCCUGUAUACAUGUAAUAUUAUAUAAUUUUUGAACACAAGGGAAACGGAAAUUAACAAAUAAAUAAGCAGUUUGAAAAGUU